This 970-nucleotide ribosomal RNA is filed under the name uncultured eukaryote. Its description in RNAcentral is "SSU rRNA". It matches the Rfam family "Eukaryotic small subunit ribosomal RNA", at positions 121 to 1119 of the family's 1831-position model. The record is from RNAcentral.
UUGAUAGUACCUUACUACUUGGAUACCCGUAGUAAUUCUAGAGCUAAUACAUGCAUCAACGCCCAAUCGGGCCGCGUCUAUUAGAUAGAAACCCAUAUUUUUGGUGAAUCAUAAUAACUGUGCGAAUCGCAUGGGUUUACCCCGGCGAUGAAUCAAUCAAGUUUCUGCCCUAUCAGCUUUCGAUGGUAGGGUAUUGGCCUACCAUGGCGUUAACGGGUAACGGAGAAUUAGGGUUCGAUUCCGGAGAGGGAGCCUGAGAAACGGCUACCACAUCCAAGGAAGGCAACAGGCGCGUAAAUUACCCAAUCCUGACACAGGGAGGUAGUGACAAUAAAUAACAAUGCCGGGCUUUUUCAAGUCUGGCAAUUGGAAUGAGAACAAUUUAAAUCCCUUAACGAGGAUCAAUUGGAGGGCAAGUCUGGUGCCAGCAGCCGCGGUAAUUCCAGCUCCAAUAGCGUAUAUUAAUGUUGUUGCAGUUAAAAAGCUCGUAGUUGCAUUUCUGGUGGGAGUGGCCGGUCCGCCGUAAGGUGUGUACUUGGUUGUCUCCUGUCAUCCUUGUGGGAACUGCUCUGGCAUUAAGUUGUCGGGGUUGGGGAACACAUCGUUUACUGUGAAAAAAUUAGAGUGUUUAAAGCAGGCUUAUGCCGUUGAAUACAUUAGCAUGGAAUAAUAAGAUAGGACUUUGGCGUCUAUUUUGUUGGUUUGCACACCAAAGUAAUGAUUAAUAGGGAUAGUUGGGGGUAUUCGUAUUUAAUUGUCAGAGGUGAAAUUCUUGGAUUUAUGAAAGACGAACUUCUGCGAAAGCAUUUACCAAAGAUGUUUUCAUUAAUCAAGAACGAAAGUUAGGGGAUCGAAGAUGAUUAGAUACCAUCGUAGUCUUAACCAUAAACUAUGCCGACUAGGGAUUGGCGGUCGUUCAUUUAUGACUCCGUCAGCACUUAUGAGAAAUCAAAGUCUUUGGGUUCCGGGG